CCUUGGUACUGUUUACAUGUGUCAGCUUGCUGCCUGGGAUGAGAGAGCGUGGCUUCAUGACCUCAAAAGGCUUUUUCAAUCUCAAUUAUAUCUUACCUGCAUUUAGAUACUCCUUGAACUCUUUCUUCAGGGCAACUGAGGCGCCAUAGGGAAGAAGCAGGCACCCUUCCAAAUGCUGCUAAGCAAUCACUGCCCAGGGACUUCUCAGUUUCCCAUGCUCUUCCAGGGAGCAGGUGGACAAGAAGCCAUGAGGGAACAGCUCACCCAAACUGGCUAAAAGGAUAUUCCACACCAUAGUACAUCAUACCCAAUAUAUUAACUGGGGAGAAUUGUCCAGGAGGUUGAUCACUUCUCAGCAUCAGUCAGUGCACAGUGUUCUGGCACAGUCAAGAGGGUGGUGAGCCUGGAUAUUCUGCAUCACUCAUUUCUCUUGGGUUUUACUCCUCUCUCUCAUAUGUUUGUCUUCCAUAUUGUUACUGCUAUGAUUGUUAUUAUUACUAUAUUAUUAUUAUAAUUUAAUUUAUUUCAAAUAUUAAAAUUUUUUUCU
Molecule: long non-coding RNA, 547 nt
Organism: Passer domesticus (house sparrow)
Lineage: Eukaryota; Metazoa; Chordata; Aves; Passeriformes; Passeridae
Exons: 3
Source: RefSeq, a predicted model, not a curated record